AACGAACGCUGGCGGCAUGCCUAACACAUGCAAGUCGAACGAGACCUUCGGGUCUUUUGGCGCAUGAGUGCGUAACCGGUGGGAAUCUACCCACAUGUUCGGAAUAACUCUGAGACUUUUGUGCUAUUACCGGAUGAUGACUUAUGUCCAAAGAUUUAUCGCCUGAGGAUGAGCACGCGUAGGAUUAGGUAGUUGGUGAGGUAAAGGCUCACCAAGCCGACGAUCCUUAGCUGGUCUGAGAGGAUGGUCAGCCACACUGGGACUGAGACACGGCCGAGACUCCUACGGGAGGCAGCAGUGGGGAAUAUUGGACAAUGGGCGAAAGCAUGAUCCAGCAAUGCCGCGUGAGUGAUGAAAGCCUUAGGGUUGUAAAGCUCUUGUACCCGUGAUGAUCAUGACAGUACCGGGAGAAUAAGCUCCGGCUAACUCCGUG
Molecule: ribosomal RNA, 433 nt
Filed under: uncultured bacterium
Lineage: Bacteria
Description: partial 16S ribosomal RNA
Rfam family: Bacterial small subunit ribosomal RNA
Source: RNAcentral